AAUAAUUCACAAUGGGGGCAACCCUGAUGGUGCAACGCCGCGUGGAGGAUGACGGUCUUCGGAUUGUAAACUCCUGUCAUCCGGGAGUAAGACCUGGCUGUGAAUAGCAGACAGGGUUGAUAGUACCGGAAGAGGAAGGGACGGCUAACUUCGUGCCAGCAGCCGCGGUAAUACGAAGGUCCCGAGCGUUGUUCGGAAUCACUGGGCGUAAAGGGAGCGUAGGCGGCGUGGUAAGUCAGAUGUGAAAUCCCGGGGCUCAACCCCGGAACUGCAUCCGAUACUGCCGUGCUAGAGGAUUGGAGAGGUAGCUGGAAUUCUUGGUGUAGCAGUGAAAUGCGUGGAUAUCAAGAGGAACACUCGUGGCGAAAGCGAGCUACUGGACAACUCCUGACGCUGAGGCUCGAAGGCCAGGGUAGCGA
RNAcentral lists this ribosomal RNA (419 nucleotides) under uncultured Luteolibacter sp. RNAcentral describes it as "bacterial SSU rRNA". It matches the Rfam family "Bacterial small subunit ribosomal RNA", at positions 360 to 771 of the family's 1533-position model. The record is from RNAcentral. Lineage: Bacteria; Pseudomonadati; Verrucomicrobiota; Verrucomicrobiia; Verrucomicrobiales; Verrucomicrobiaceae.